GCUGAAGUUAGACCCAAGAAAAAACACUUAGGCAAGGUGGACCAGGAAGUAAUAUACACCAAUGUGGGAAACAUUAGAAGAAAAUCACCCGAGGUAACCCUAACAUACUACAACUAUACAUUUGUAUUUGAGUAUAAGCAGACUUUAACUUUUUUUUUCUUAAAGAAUGACACGACUGUAAAGUGUUCUGUUUCCACUCCUUUUGUUUUCCCCCAGAUGUCACUUCCUGAAAGUGAUGGGGAAGUCAUGUACAGUUCAGUUGUUACCCCCAGGGAUCAAUAAAGUAUUCUGAUUCUGAUUAGAAGAAAAUCACCCGAGGGUGAAGGAAAAGGCACAGAAGUUACAUAUAGCACAUUAGCUACUCUCCACUGAAAUAUUUAAAUGUUAUAACCUUUUGCAUUUUGUGUACCUGUAUUACUGGAGUCUUUGUCAGACAAGUGCUGUAAUGUGUUAUCUGCUCUCAUCAGCUUGUUAUAUGAUUUUUUGUUUUUAACUGCUGUUUAAGAACUAUAUUCCUGCAUAUUUGCAAAGUGAGUCAAAGAAGUGUUGAUCUGUUUGCUCUUUUAUCAAGAUUGUUGACAUUAAUCUUGUUUUUUUGUUAUUUUUUGUAAUAAAGAAGCAUUGCAAGCAUCAACAAUAAUGGGUAAUCCUGACCUCUAUCAUCAGGUUGUGUGAGAACUCUCAGUGUAUAUCAAACAUUUUGUCUUUGUUGAAUGAGAGUGGAAUUAUAUACUAUUUGGAAAGAUUAAGCAUGCAGUCUGCCUUUAUGUAAAUUUUUUUUAAACAUAAAUAUGUGUGUAAUGAGUCAUUCUAAAGACCUCACUAAAUUGGUACUGCAUCUUUGUUUCAUCCUGGACACGAUUCUGACACACACUAAUCCUCAGCCUCCUUCUCC
This is a long non-coding RNA of Astatotilapia calliptera (eastern happy), 895 nucleotides long. The record is from Ensembl. NCBI's taxonomy places the organism in Eukaryota, Metazoa, Chordata, Actinopteri, Cichliformes, Cichlidae.